Molecule: ribosomal RNA, 800 nt
Filed under: Bryoria bicolor
Lineage: Eukaryota; Fungi; Ascomycota; Lecanoromycetes; Lecanorales; Parmeliaceae
Description: SSU rRNA
Rfam family: Bacterial small subunit ribosomal RNA
Source: RNAcentral
UAGCUACUUGUAUCAUUGUAGGUAUGAUGCAAGAUCGACUUGGUCGAAUAAAAUUCUAGGUAGAAUUAUGAUAAUGACAUUGUCUGCCUAUGUGUCUUGACCAAAUUACGUGCCAGCUGUCGCGGUAAUACGUAGAAGACUAGUGUUAUUCAUGUUUAGUCGGUUUAAAGGGUACCUAGACGGUAAAUCAAGCCUACAAAUAAAUGAAGGGACUAUUUUGCUAGAGUUACUUACGAGGGGGUUUUAAAGUACUGCUGGUGUAGAGAUGAAAUUCUGUAAUACCUCUUUUCAAUUGAAAAAUAAUGGCACAGGUAUAGGCGAAGGCAUCCCCUUAUGUGAUAACUGACGUUGAGGGACGAAGGCUUUGUGUAGCGAACAGGAUUAGAUACCCCAGUAGUCAAAGCAGAAAAUGAUGAAUGUCAUAGAUUAGACGUUUAAGUUUAUUCUAUAAAUGAAAGUGUAAGCAUUCCACCUCAAGAGUAAUUUGGCAACAUUGGAACUGAAAUCAUUAGACCGUUUCUGAAACCAGUAGUGAAGUAUGUUGUUUAAUUUGAUGCCACGCAAAAAACCUUACCACAAUUUGAAUAUUUAUAUUUUUUUUUAUUAUUGUUUUAUUUUUAAUUUUCUUAAAGGACUAGGAAAAAUUAUAUUAAAUUAGAUUAUUAAAAAUAAAGGCAAUAAGAUAUAUUUACAAGUGUUGCACGGCUGUCUUCAGUUAAUGUCGCGAGACUCUGGUUAGUUCCAUGAAUUNNCGUAAACCCUUACUUUAUUUUUUAUAUAGAGUAGUUCCCCGCUAUAUU